CCUACGGGGGGCAGCAGUGGGGAAUUUUGCGCAAUGGGGGAAACCCUGACGCAGCGACGCCGCGUGAGCGAUGAAGGUUUUCGGAUCGUAAAGCUCUGUCACAGGGGACGAUGAUGACGGUACCCUGGGAGGAAGCCCCGGCUAACUACGUGCCAGCAGCCGCGGUAACACGUAGGGGGCGAGCGUUGUCCGGAAUUACUGGGCGUAAAGAGCGCGUAGGUGGUUAAGUAAGUCAGGUGUGAAAGGCCAGGGCUCAACCCUGGGACUGCACUUGAAACUGCUUAACUUGAGGGCAGGAGAG
RNAcentral lists this ribosomal RNA (301 nucleotides) under uncultured Sulfitobacter sp. RNAcentral describes it as "bacterial SSU rRNA". It matches the Rfam family "Bacterial small subunit ribosomal RNA", at positions 338 to 656 of the family's 1533-position model. Lineage: Bacteria; Pseudomonadati; Pseudomonadota; Alphaproteobacteria; Rhodobacterales; Roseobacteraceae. The record is from RNAcentral.